RNAcentral lists this ribosomal RNA (544 nucleotides) under Geitlerinema sp. PCC 9228. Its description in RNAcentral is "bacterial SSU rRNA". It matches the Rfam family "Bacterial small subunit ribosomal RNA", at positions 188 to 751 of the family's 1533-position model. The record is from RNAcentral. Lineage: Bacteria; Bacillati; Cyanobacteriota; Cyanophyceae; Geitlerinematales; Geitlerinemataceae.
AUACGCCGAGAGGUAAAAGGUCAGCCGCCGGGAGAGGGGCUCGCGUCCGAUUAGCUAGUUGGUGGGGUAAGAGCUCACCAAGGCGACGAUCGGUAGCCGUUUUGAGAGGAAGAACGGCCACACUGGGACUGAGACACGGCCCAGACUCCUACGGGAGGCAGCAGUGGGGAAUCUUCCGCAAUGGGCGCAAGCCUGACGGAGCCAGACCGCGUGGGGGAGGAAGGCCCUUGGGUUGUAAACCCCUUUUCUCAGGGAAGAAACCUGACGGUACCUGAGGAAAAAGCCUCGGCUAACUCCGUGCCAGCAGCCGCGGUAAUACGGAGGAGGCAAGCGUUAUCCGGAAUUACUGGGCGUAAAGCGUUCGUAGGGGGCUCGUCAAGUCUGCUGUCAAAGCUCGGAGCUCAACUCCGAAGGGGCAGUGGAAACUGGGGAGCUAGAGGGCGGCAGGGGCAGAAGGAAUUCCCGGUGUAGCGGUGAAAUGCGUAGAGAUCGGGAAGAACACCAGAGGCGAAAGCGUUCUGCUGGGCCGCGCCUGACCCUGAGG